Molecule: long non-coding RNA, 1335 nt
Organism: Pongo pygmaeus (Bornean orangutan)
Lineage: Eukaryota; Metazoa; Chordata; Mammalia; Primates; Hominidae
Exons: 2
Source: RefSeq, a predicted model, not a curated record
CCCUACUACGAAUACACCAUCUGCACCACAAAAAUCAGCACCCACUCUGUAACAGGUGGGAUAUCCUUUUACAGUAGAUGAAAUGCCCUGCUUGGUUGAUAAAAUUGGCCCAUCUUUCCUCCUUCCAGGACCUUCUACCAGCAUCGCAUUUCCUAAAUCACUUCCUUUGAAAGAACACAGUCCUUCCAAAAAGCUCUCAAGCUGUUCUAGUGUCUUCAGCAAAGACGUCCUGGGGCCUCCCGCUGUGUGAUGCUAUCAGAUCGCCCCUCACUGCUGGAGCCGGUGUUCUUGGUGAUGAAAGGAAGAGGUUGGGGCAAAGGCGAAGUAUGAGGCCUUGAAGCCUCUGGCACCUCUGGGAUGACUUCUCAGCGACUUGCUGUGAACUGCUUCCCCACCACCUGCCUUGAGUAGACUCUGGCAUUCAGUGGGCAAUUUUCUCAUGAUCCCUAGAGCCCAGCCCUGCUUUCCUUCCUACCUGGAUGACUCACCUCUUGAUGACCAGUGUUUGAAUUUAGCCUUGGAGAUGGAGAGGGACUGGAGGAGGAGAAGAGACGUUUCAGUCCCAGAUGAAUUCAUUUGGAAAAAUAAGCCUCCAGAAUUUGAGUAAAUCUCCAUAUUAUCCUGAAAGAGUUUUGGGUCUUUCCAAAACCCAAGUAACAUCUGUGGAUGCCCCAUCUCUUCAAGGUCAAACACUCCAUGAUUGUAGAGUGAAAGGUUUCCUGUGCAGUCUCUCCCAAGCCCCACAUUCAGAGAUGCGGGGCUGCCCUCUGUGUACCUUUCUGGUGUCACCCCUCAGAGCGACUGGUUCUUUCCCCAAGAGAGUGUUUUCUUUUAAAGUUCACAGUGUUCACUUUUUUGUUUGUCUUUCUGUUUAUGUGCUGCAAGGAGAACUCUGAAUUCGGAUUGCAGUCCUACCGGUUAGAUAGUUUUACAUUCUUCCUGAAAUUUUGCAGAGUCGCUUGUAGCACUGGGAAAAUUGGACAGCAGAAUUUUUAGAUCCCCGGGCCACCAAGGGGCAUGGGCAGGGAGUAACCUGGUCUUCAGAGCACUCACAACUUCCCUUUUGUUAGCACUUCCAGACUUUCCCCCUUUUUGCAUGCUAGUAGUGUUUAUUUUUCAAUGAAAUAUUUCACUCAUACAAACAGAAAACAUAAUGCAUGGAUAUUAAAGAAUAUAAAAUAAAUACUCCCAGAGCCAUCAUCCGACUUAAGAAAUAGAAUGUUCCCCAAAUGGUGAAGCAGCUUCUGUGUCCCCCCAUUAGCGAUCCCUCCCCGCCAAGGGAAUUUAUAUUUAUUGUUUGAAAGCAUACUUAGUAAAAUAAAUGCAUUUUAGAAA